CCUACGGGAGGCAGCAGUGAGGAAUAUUGGUCAAUGGACGCAAGUCUGAACCAGCCAUGCCGCGUGAAGGAUGAAGGCCUUCUGGGUUGUAAACUUCUUUUAUCUGGGAAGAAACCUCCGAUUUCUAUUGGAGUUGACGGUACCAGAGGAAUAAGCACCGGCUAACUCCGUGCCAGCAGCCGCGGUAAUACGGAGGGUGCAAGCGUUAUCCGGAUUUACUGGGUUUAAAGGGUGUGUAGGCGGGCUAUUAAGUCAGCGGUGAAAUCUCCGAGCUCAACUUGGAAACUGCCAUUGAUACUAUUAGUCUUGAAUUUUGUUGAGGUAGGCGGAAUAAGUCAUGUAGCGGUGAAAUGCAUAGAUAUGACUUAGAACACCAAUUGCGAAGGCAGCUUGCUAAACAAACAUUGACGCUGAGGCACGAAAGCGUGGGGAUCAAACAGGAUUAGAUACCCUGGUAGUCCACGCCCUAAACGAUGAUUACUCGACAUACGCGAUACACAGUGUGUGUCUGAGNGAGANAUAGUANACACNGGAAGUAGACGCGAGUAGAAGUUANAAGAAGUUAGNGNGNGAGAGNGCGAGACGACGACGAGGGAGAGG
This 600-nucleotide ribosomal RNA is filed under the name uncultured bacterium. RNAcentral describes it as "bacterial SSU rRNA". The stretch from base 1 to 531 matches the Rfam family "Bacterial small subunit ribosomal RNA", at positions 338 to 873 of the family's 1533-position model. The record is from RNAcentral.